Small nucleolar RNA from Lethenteron reissneri (Far Eastern brook lamprey), 133 nucleotides. RefSeq annotates it as small nucleolar RNA SNORA3/SNORA45 family. Lineage: Eukaryota; Metazoa; Chordata; Hyperoartia; Petromyzontiformes; Petromyzontidae. The record is from RefSeq and is a predicted model, not a curated record.
GGCGAGGCUUAGAGUCUUGUGCUGGUGUGCACCGUCGCCAGCACAUGCUAUUGCGCUCGCAGAUUAACCCGGCUUGCCUUAUUCACUGGGCCGCUCUCACGUGAUCGGCCCGGUCACCUGGCUUGCUACAUGC